GAUGAACGCUGGCGGCGUGCCUAAUACAUGCGAGUCGAGCGAACGGACGAGAAGCUUGCUUCUCUGAUGUUAGCGGCGGACGGGUGAGUAACACGUGGAUAACCUACCUAUAAGACUGGGAUAACUUCGGGAAACCGGAGCUAAUACCGGAUAAUAUUUUGAACCGCAUGGUUCAAAAGUGAAAGACGGUUCUGCUGUCUCUUAUAGAUGGAUCCGCGCUGCAUUAGCUAGUUGGUAAGGUAACGGCUUACCAAGGCAACGAUGCAUAGCCGACCUGAGAGGGUGAUCGGCCACACUGGAACUGAGACACGGUCCAGACUCCUACGGGAGGCAGCAGUAGGGAAUCUUCCGCAAUGGGCGAAAGCCUGACGGAGCAACGCCGCGUGAGUGAUGAAGGUCUUCGGAUCGUAAAACUCUGUUAUUAGGGAAGAACAUAUGUGUAAGUAACUGUGCACAUCUUGACGGUACCUAAUCAGAAAGCCACGGCUAACUACGUG
This 497-nucleotide ribosomal RNA is filed under the name uncultured bacterium. RNAcentral describes it as "partial 16S ribosomal RNA". It matches the Rfam family "Bacterial small subunit ribosomal RNA", at positions 28 to 507 of the family's 1533-position model. The record is from RNAcentral.